RNAcentral lists this ribosomal RNA (440 nucleotides) under uncultured bacterium. RNAcentral describes it as "partial 16S ribosomal RNA". It matches the Rfam family "Bacterial small subunit ribosomal RNA", at positions 338 to 795 of the family's 1533-position model. The record is from RNAcentral.
CCUACGGGUGGCAGCAGUGGGGAAUAUUGCACAAUGGGGGCAACCCUGAUGCAGCGACGCCGCGUGAAUGAAGAAUUAAUUCGUUAUGUAAAGCUCUUUCAGCAGGGAAGAAAAUGACGGUACCUGAGUAAUAAGCCCCGGCUAACUUCGUUCCAGCAGCCGCGGUAAUACGUAGGGGGCAAGCGUUAUCCGGAUUUACUGGGUGUAAAGGGAGCGUAGACGGGUGUGCAAGUCUGGAGUGAAAGGUGGGGGCUCAACCGCAAGAUUGCAAUGGAAACUGUAAGGCUGGAGUACAGGUGAGGUAAGUGGAAUUCGUGGUGUAGCGGUGAAAUGCGUAGAUAUUAGGAAGAACACCAGUGGCGAAGGCGGCUUACUGAACUGUCACUGACAUUGAGGCUCGAAAGCGUGGGGAGCAAACAGGAUUAGAUACCCGAGUAGUC